AGGAGUUUGAUCCUGGCUCAGAACGAACGCUGGCGGCGUGCUUAACACAUGCAAGUCGAGUGCACAGUUUCUGUAGCAAUACAGGGAUGGGUGCACGGCGCACGGGUGCGUAACACGUGGGUAAUCUGCCCUUCGAUGGGGAAUAACCCCGGGAAACCGGGGCUAAUUCCGCAUAACAUUCCGAGGAUUUCGGUUCUUGGAUUCAAAGGCGUAAGUCGUCGAAGGAGGAGCCCGCGCACGAUUAGCUAGUUGGUGAGGUAAUGGCUCACCAAGGCUUUGAUCGUUAGCUGGUCUGAGAGGAUGGCCAGCCACACUGGAACUGAGACACGGUCCAGACUCCUACGGGAGGCAGCAGUGGGGAAUCUUGCACAAUGGGCGAAAGCCUGAUGCAGCGACGCCGCGUGGGGGAUGAAGCAUUUCGGUGUGUAAACCCCUUUCGACCGGGAAGAAUGCCUCGCAAGAGGAGUGACGGUACCGGUAUAAGAAGCCCCGGCUAACUACGUGCCAGCAGCCGCGGUAAUACGUAGGGGGCCAGCGUUGUUCGGAAUUACUGGGCGUAAAGGGUUC
Molecule: ribosomal RNA, 567 nt
Filed under: uncultured bacterium
Lineage: Bacteria
Description: bacterial SSU rRNA
Rfam family: Bacterial small subunit ribosomal RNA
Source: RNAcentral